RNAcentral lists this ribosomal RNA (109 nucleotides) under Labrus bergylta (ballan wrasse). Lineage: Eukaryota; Metazoa; Chordata; Actinopteri; Labriformes; Labridae. The record is from RNAcentral.
GCUUACGACCAUACCACCCUGAACACGCCCGAUCUCGGAAGCUAAGCAGGGUCAGGCCUGGUUAGUACUUGGAUGGGAGACCGCCUGGGAAUACCAGGUGCUGUAAGCU